This 90-nucleotide transfer RNA is filed under the name Calocera cornea HHB12733. Its description in RNAcentral is "tRNA-Ser". It matches the Rfam family "tRNA". From Rfam's summary of the family: Transfer RNA (tRNA) molecules are approximately 80 nucleotides in length. Their secondary structure includes four short double-helical elements and three loops (D, anti-codon, and T loops). The record is from RNAcentral. Lineage: Eukaryota; Fungi; Basidiomycota; Dacrymycetes; Dacrymycetales; Dacrymycetaceae.
GACACUUUGCCGGAGUGGUUAACGGGUGCCCCUGCUAACCAGCACAGGGUAUGGUCUUAGACCGCGUGUGUUCGAAUCGCACAGGUGUCG